UCCCAUUGCUCAGAUACUGCUCACCAUCAAUCAUUUCAGUCAUUACUCCACUCUCACUUAAAUCAUAACAAUUUCAAUUUUUUUUUUCCAAGUAAAAAACUUACAUGGCCAUGGUCUCCAAGGUUGACCACAAAGGCUCCUUCCACAGGUUGGACAGUGAUCCAAGUCUUGCCAUUGUCCCGGGUGGCCUGAAGCCCACCAACUUGGUCUUGAAGCAAGAGUGUGAUGGUGCCUGGGUCAGUGUGGCGCUUGAGUCCUAAAGUGAGGUCAGGUUGAGGGCAUUUAGGAUAGAAGUUAACCACCACUUUCUGAUCCAUGUCCACACAUGCCUUUGUCAAGGCCUCCUUCUCUAAACCCAUGGCCUCUGACAACACCUCAAGAAGCUUGCAAGCUAGGCCCAUCAACUUCUCGCUGUACUCCUUUGUAACUUCAACCCAACCCUCUGGCUUAUCAG
This 454-nucleotide long non-coding RNA is filed under the name Gossypium barbadense (sea-island cotton). RNAcentral describes it as "long non-coding RNA (GBAR_LNC011266)". The record is from RNAcentral. Lineage: Eukaryota; Viridiplantae; Streptophyta; Magnoliopsida; Malvales; Malvaceae.